This 54-nucleotide transfer RNA is filed under the name Amiota leucostoma. Its description in RNAcentral is "tRNA-Tyr". Lineage: Eukaryota; Metazoa; Arthropoda; Insecta; Diptera; Drosophilidae. The record is from RNAcentral.
UUUGAUUAAGAAGAAACAUUCUUAUAAAUAAAUUUACAAUCUAUCGCCUAAACU